RNAcentral lists this ribosomal RNA (1175 nucleotides) under uncultured Sulfurimonas sp. Its description in RNAcentral is "bacterial SSU rRNA". It matches the Rfam family "Bacterial small subunit ribosomal RNA", at positions 226 to 1415 of the family's 1533-position model. The record is from RNAcentral. Lineage: Bacteria; Pseudomonadati; Campylobacterota; Epsilonproteobacteria; Campylobacterales; Sulfurimonadaceae.
UCGGCCUAUGUCCUAUCAGGUAGUUGGUGAGGUAAGAGCUCACCAAGCCUAUGACGGGUAGCGGGUCUGAGAGGAUGAUCCGCCACACUGGUACUGAGACACGGACCAGACUCCUACGGGAGGCAGCAGUGGGGAAUAUUGCACAAUGGACGAAAGUCUGAUGCAGCAACGCCGCGUGGAGGAUGACACAUUUCGGUGCGUAAACUCCUUUUAUAUGAGAAGAUAAUGACGGUAUCAUAUGAAUAAGCACCGGCUAACUCCGUGCCAGCAGCCGCGGUAAUACGGAGGGUGCAAGCGCUAUUCGGAAUCACUGGGCGUAAAGGGUGCGUAGGCGGUUUGGAAAGUCAGAUGUGAAAUCCUACAGCUUAACUGUAGAACUGCAUUUGAAACUUCCAGACUAGAAUACUGAAGGGGCAGAUGGAAUUAGUGGUGUAGGGGUAAAAUCCGUAGAUAUCACUAGGAAUACCGAAAGCGAAAGCGAUCCGCUGGGAAGUUAUUGACGCUGAGGCACGAAAGCGUGGGGAGCAAACGGGAUUAGAUACCCCGGUAGUCCACGCCCUAAACGAUGAAUGCUAGUCGUCGGAAAGCUCGUCUUUUCGGUGAUGCAGUUAACACAUUAAGCANUCCGCCUGGGGAGUACGGUCGCAAGAUUAAAACUCAAAGGAAUAGACGGGGACCCGCACAAGUGGUGGAGCAUGUGGUUUAAUUCGAAGAUACGCGAAGAACCUUACCUAGCCUUGACAUUGAUAGAAUCUGGUAGAGAUAUCGGAGUGCCUGCUUGCAGGAGCUUGAAAACAGGUGCUGCACGGCUGUCGUCAGCUCGUGUCGUGAGAUGUUGGGUUAAGUCCCGCAACGAGCGCAACCCUCGUCGUUAGUUGCUAACAGUUCGGCUGAGCACUCUAGCGAGACUGCCUUCGCAAGGAGGAGGAAGGUGAGGACGACGUCAAGUCAUCAUGGCCCUUAUGGCUAGGGCUACACACGUGCUACAAUGGGGCGUACAGAGAGUUGCGAUACCGCGAGGUGGAGCCAAUCUCAUAAAGCGUCUCUCAGUUCGGAUUGUUCUCUGCAACUCGAGAACAUGAAGCUGGAAUCACUAGUAAUCGUAGAUCAGCAAUGCUACGGUGAAUACGUUCCCGGGUCUUGUACUCACCGCCCGUCACACCAUGGGAGUUGAU